UACGUAGGUGGCAAGCGUUGUUCGGAAUUAUUGGGCGUAAAGGGCGCGUAGGCGGUUUGUUAAGUCGGCUGUGAAAGCCCGGGGCUCAACCCCGGAGGGUCAGCCGAUACUGGCAGACUAGAGUACGGAAGAGGUAGCUGGAAUUCCCGGUGUAGCGGUGAAAAUGCGUAGAUAUCGGGAGGAACACCUGAGGCGAAGGGCGGGCUACUGGGCCGAUACUGACGCUGAUGCGCGAAAGCCAGGG
RNAcentral lists this ribosomal RNA (244 nucleotides) under uncultured bacterium. RNAcentral describes it as "partial 16S ribosomal RNA". It matches the Rfam family "Bacterial small subunit ribosomal RNA", at positions 524 to 765 of the family's 1533-position model. The record is from RNAcentral.